AUCUAUUGAAAAGCGCCGAUAAAACUAAAACGCAUAUUACAGCGAAAGGCAAGACAGUUUGCAGUCGGCGGAUACAAAGGCAAAGAUACUGACUCUGAAAGAGCAGCGGCUCCGCGUACAACAAUUAGCUCUGACUGCCCGCCGACCACUGAGUUCUGCAGCUGAUCCAGAGCCAUGGGCAUCUCACACACCUCCUGAACACCUCAUCUCACACACCUCCUGAACCAGGUAGGACUCGCAGUGUCACCUGGUCGUAGUGCUGCUCAUCAUCAUCCGCUAUGGAGUCCAGCUCCAGGACCUUCAUAUCCGGCUCCAUCUCCAGCAGCUGUGACUCCUUGGCCCUGACAGCAAACUGCAGCCUGGUGUGCUGCUCUAUCAGAGUACACUGUCGACGCUUCUCCCACUCCACAACACUCUAUAUACACGCACACACACACACACACACACGCUGGCAUAUUAUAUACAAGUUGGCAUGUACAACUGGGCUAUUACAAAAUAGAACAAGAAAGAAAGAGAAAGAGAGAGAGACAAAUAAAGAGUGAGAGGGAUGGACCUGUGGGAAACAACGAGAGAACAGGAGAAUGGUUGGAGAGGGUCGUCUGCCAGAGAGGGACUGGCUGAAGAUACAGCCCCUAUCAGAGCCCAGCAGACCGUCACGGCCCCCAUUACUACACAGUCCGUCUUCAAACUGGUGGAGGAUAUUGAUGCUCUGAGAGAAGCCCUCAGCUGCACUGAUCUGCAGGUUGUAAAUACCGGUAAUGAGCAGGGGUGAUGGAUGGAGACAGACCCAAUUAGAAUAGAGGUAGGAUGGAACAUGAUCUGCUCCCUGCUUUCUCUUUACAUACCAGACCAGUGUUCAAACACUAUAUGAAAUCUUUCAAAUACUUUUAGCUUUUGAUUUUGACUGCCUGGAGUGACAGAUGUGCAGGGUUUGCAGUUUUUGCAACUAUUGUAUUGGUUUCAUUGCACCAGUCAAACCCAGCUAAAGUAUUUGAAAUGGUUCCCAGGAGUGUUUGAACACAGGUCUAGUAUACAUUAGUCCCAGGCAGUACUCUGUGUGCAUACUAGAUAAGCUCCUCCAUUAUGGCUGGCUCAGGCUCUGUGUUGUUUAGCAUGCAGCCAGUGUGUCCAUUGGACAUGUGCUACUGUUCAUCCAUCACGCUAACAGCAAUGUCCAACAUGAGCCAAGACACACACACAUCUAUCACCCUAACAGUAAUGUCUGACAUCAGCAGAGCAGCCAUCACUGCACUCUGGGGGACUGACACUUUAUUUGUGUGUGUGUUGGAGGGUAGUGUACAGUAGCAGCAAUGACAUGACUCAGCUCUGUGACUCACUGUCCAUGCCUGCCAAACGCACGCUGGAGAGCCAAUAAACCAGCCCCGUACACACAGAGAAAAAUUGCACAGAUACAAUCACACGCACAAAUACACAUGCACACUCACUUUAACCAUUGUCAGUUAUAUAUAGGAGAAUAGGAGAAUAUAAAUCAUGUAUAAUCUUGACCUUGAAUCCAUUUACUGCCCACUAUGGUAAUUACCAUAUGGUAUUAUGAUAACAUUGCAAUGCUGUCGUAUCAUUUGCACAUUCAAGCAGGUUUGCAAUAUUGCUCAUUAGUAUUCCGACCUUGCUCAAAAUAUAUAGCAAGAUACCCAUAAUUCACCAGUGGCAAUGUAAUGAGAAGCCAUUUAAAUAUGGCAUCACAGGGCGACUGACAAUACAAACAUUCAGCUGCCUCCAAUGAGAUGACAGUCCUGGUGAGAUAGUCAUUUUGCUGUUUAACGAUCACAUGCGGUUAUAUUGGAUGGUGAGCUGGUGGAGGAGGGAUGAAAGAGGAGAUGAGGGCUGGAGGAGAAGAGGGGUGGAGGAAGAGGUGAAGGGAUGGA
Non-coding RNA from Salmo salar (Atlantic salmon), 1886 nucleotides. Lineage: Eukaryota; Metazoa; Chordata; Actinopteri; Salmoniformes; Salmonidae. The record is from RefSeq and is a predicted model, not a curated record.